RNAcentral lists this ribosomal RNA (393 nucleotides) under uncultured bacterium. RNAcentral describes it as "partial 16S ribosomal RNA". It matches the Rfam family "Bacterial small subunit ribosomal RNA", at positions 523 to 918 of the family's 1533-position model. The record is from RNAcentral.
AUACGGAGGAUGCAAGCGUUAUCCGGAUUUAUUGGGUUUAAAGGGUGCGUAGGCGGUUUGCUAAGCGGGAGGUGAAAUGCCGGCGCUCAACGUCGGAAGUGCCUCCCGAACUGGGGGACUGGAAUGACUCUGCCGUGGGAGGCAUGUGUAGUGUAGCGGUGAAAUGCUUAGAGAUUACACAGAACACCGAUUGCGAAGGCAUCUCACGAAGGGUUGAUUGACGCUGAGGCACGAAAGCGUGGGGAUCAAACAGGAUUAGAUACCCUGGUAGUCCACGCAGUAAACGAUGAUGGCUAACCGCUGGUUUUUUCGGAUCAGUGGCCAAGCGAAAGCGAUAAGCCAUCCACCUGGGGAGUACGACCGCAAGGUUGAAACUCAAAUGAAUUGACGGGG